AGUGUGGUGGUGUAGUGGUUAGCGCUGCUGCCUUGCAGUAAUGAGGUUCUGGGUUCGAGUCCUGGCCAGCCAG
Molecule: non-coding RNA, 73 nt
Organism: Gymnothorax javanicus (giant moray)
Lineage: Eukaryota; Metazoa; Chordata; Actinopteri; Anguilliformes; Muraenidae
Source: the annotation of a GenBank genome assembly